GGAUGAGCCCACGUCGGAUUAGCUAGUUGGCGGGUAAAGGCCCACCAAGGCGACGAUCCGUAGCUGGUCUGAGAGGAUGAUCAGCCACACUGGAACUGAGACACGGUCCAGACUCCUACGGGAGGCAGCAGUAGGGAAUAUUGGACAAUGGGCGCAAGCCUGAUCCAGCCAUGCCGCGUGAGUGAAGAAGGCCCUCGGGUUGUAAAGCUCUUUUGUCCGGAAAGAAAAGCGCCGGGUUAAUACCCUGGUGUCCUGACGGUACCGGAAGAAUAAGCACCGGCUAACUUCGUG
This 291-nucleotide ribosomal RNA is filed under the name uncultured bacterium. RNAcentral's name for it is "partial 16S ribosomal RNA". It matches the Rfam family "Bacterial small subunit ribosomal RNA", at positions 223 to 507 of the family's 1533-position model. The record is from RNAcentral.